UAUUGCGCAAUGGACGAAAGUCUGACGCAGCGACGCCGCGUGGGGGAUGAAGGUCUUCGGAUUGUAAACCCCUUUCGGGAGGGAAGAUGGAGUGGGUAACCACUUGGACGGUACCUCCAGAAGCAGCCACGGCUAACUUCGUGCCAGCAGCCGCGGUAAUACGAAGGUGGCAAGCGUUGUUCGGAUUCACUGGGCGUACAGGGAGCGUAGGCGGUUGGGUAAGCCCUCCGUGAAAUCUCCGGGCCUAACCCGGAAAGUGCAGAGGGGACUGCUCAGCUAGAGGAUGGGAGAGGAGCGCGGAAUUCCCGGUGUAGCGGUGAAAUGCGUAGAGAUCGGGAGGAAGGCCGGGGCGAAGGCGGCGCUCUGAACAUUCUGACGCGAGGCCGAA
RNAcentral lists this ribosomal RNA (388 nucleotides) under uncultured bacterium. RNAcentral's name for it is "bacterial SSU rRNA". It matches the Rfam family "Bacterial small subunit ribosomal RNA", at positions 362 to 757 of the family's 1533-position model. The record is from RNAcentral.